RNAcentral lists this ribosomal RNA (455 nucleotides) under uncultured bacterium. RNAcentral's name for it is "bacterial SSU rRNA". It matches the Rfam family "Bacterial small subunit ribosomal RNA", at positions 56 to 507 of the family's 1533-position model. The record is from RNAcentral.
UGCAAGGUCGAACGGCAGCACGGGAGCAAUCCUGGUGGCGAGUGGCGAACGGGUGAGUAAUAUAUCGGAACGUGCCCAGUCGUGGGGGAUAACGUAGCGAAAGCUACGCUAAUACCGCAUACGAUCUAUGGAUGAAAGCGGGGGAUCGCAAGACCUCGCGCGAUUGGAGCGGCCGAUAUCAGAUUAGGGUAGUUGGUGAGGUAAAGGCUCACCAAGCCGACGAUCUGUAGCUGGUCUGAGAGGACGACCAGCCACACUGGGACUGAGACACGGCCCAGACUCCUACGGGAGGCAGCAGUGGGAAUUUGGACAAUGGGCGCAAGCCUGAUCCAGCAAUGCCGCGUGCAGGAUGAAGGCCUUCGGGUUGUAAACUGCUUUGUACGGAACGAAACGGUGAGCUCUAAUACAGUUUGCUAAUGACGGUACCGUAAGAAUAAGCACCGGCUAACUACGUG